GAUGAACGCUGGCGGCGUGCUUAACACAUGCAAGUCGAACGGGAUCCAUCAGGCUUUGCUUGGUGGUGAGAGUGGCGAACGGGUGAGUAAUGCGUGACCGACCUGCCCCAUACACCGGAAUAGCUCCUGGAAACGGGUGGUAAUGCCGGAUGCUCCAGUUGAUCGCAUGGUCUUCUGGGAAAGCUUUCGCGGUAUGGGAUGGGGUCGCGUCCUAUCAGCUUUGACGGCGGGGUAACGGCCCACCGUGGCUU
This 251-nucleotide ribosomal RNA is filed under the name uncultured Actinomycetes bacterium. RNAcentral describes it as "uncultured actinobacterium partial 16S ribosomal RNA". It matches the Rfam family "Bacterial small subunit ribosomal RNA", at positions 28 to 276 of the family's 1533-position model. Lineage: Bacteria; Bacillati; Actinomycetota; Actinomycetes. The record is from RNAcentral.